AAACCAAUCCAGCUUGCUGGGUCUUGGGCUGUCGCCUCUGGGCGGGCCUCAAAAUCAGUGGCGGUGCUGCCAGGCUCUAAGCGUAGUAAUUUUUUCUCGCUACAGGGUCCUGGUGGAAGCUUGCCAACAACCCCAAAUCUUUCAAA
RNAcentral lists this unclassified non-coding RNA (146 nucleotides) under uncultured Hyaloscyphaceae. RNAcentral describes it as "sequence contains ITS2". Lineage: Eukaryota; Fungi; Ascomycota; Leotiomycetes; Helotiales. The record is from RNAcentral.